GAUGAACGCUAGCUACAGGCUUAACACAUGCAAGUCGAGGGGCAGCGCAGUGUAGCAAUACAUGGGCGGCGACCGGCGCACGGGUGCGUAACGCGUAUCCAACCUUCCCGUUACUCAGGGAUAGCCUUCCGAAAGGGAGAUUAAUACCUGAUGGUGUUGAAAUUCCGCAUGUUAUUUCAACUAAAGAUUUAUCGGUAACGGAUGGGGAUGCGUGACAUUAGGUAGAUGGCGGGGUAACGGCCCACCAUGCCUACGAUGUCUAGGGGUUCUGAGAGGAAGGUCCCCCACACUGGAACUGAGACACGGUCCAG
This 311-nucleotide ribosomal RNA is filed under the name uncultured bacterium. RNAcentral's name for it is "bacterial SSU rRNA". It matches the Rfam family "Bacterial small subunit ribosomal RNA", at positions 28 to 334 of the family's 1533-position model. The record is from RNAcentral.